AUGGGAAAGAAGGGUCUUAAAAACAAAAGAACAGAGAAAAAGUCCCUCCCCGAGGAGAAGUUACACGCACAAAGCCAGUUCCGAAGGAGCGGUGCCGAGGGGCACGCGGUGCCAGGUGACACCGCAGCCGGCACCACCGCGGGGGGCGAUGCGCGGCUCCCAAAACCACGCGGCGCGGCGGGACCCGGCUCCGCUCCCGGUCCCGACGGGGCGGCGGCGGGCGAGCGGCGACCCCCGGGGGGCUGCGCGCCCCCAGCCCGGCCGGCCCCGGCCCCGGUGCUGCCUGAACCGCUGGGCGCCGAGGGGCGCACGCCGCCCGACAGGGGCCGGGGGUGCAGGUGUGGAAAUAAAGGAUCAGGGGCAAGCUGGAGGGAAGGGGAGGGGGCCGGGAAGGCGGGGGCGGAGGGGGGGCUGUGUGUGUGUGUGUGUGCGUGUGUGUCCCACCUGACUCCCUGCUCGGCGGGGGGGCGGCACACACACACACACAAACACACACACACACACUCACCCGCCGCUCGGUUCCCCCCCCGCCACCCCCUCCGCCGCUUCCCAUCGCCGCCCCAUCAGGGAGGGAGGGAGGCAGCAGGCGGGGACCCCCCCGGCCUCCCUCGGCCGCGCUGCCCCGACGGCACCGCCGCCCCCUCCCCGGGGGCAGCGCGCACCUCCCCGCCCGGGGGGGGGGGGGGGGGGGGGGGGGGGGGGACCGGGGAGGUGGGGGGGGGCCGCAGGCAGACGCCCAGACAGACAGACAGACACGCAGACGCACGGGCAGGGCUGCCCCACGCCGGUACCUUGCUGCCCUGGUGGUUUCCGUCCGGGCUCCUCCUUGCUGAGGCAGCUCGGGAGCGGAGCCGAGCGGGCGGGUGCGCGCGUGUGGCUGUGUGCGUGUGUCCGUGUGUCUGUGCGUGUGGCUGUGUGUCUGUGCCUCCGUGUGUGUGUGCGUGCGUGUGUGUGUGUGUGCGAGAGCGAGCGAGAGCGAGAGCGACUCUCCCCCCUCCCCCUCCCCCUCCUCCUCCUCGCUCUCCUUCCUUUAAACGCCCACUCCUGAUGGGUGAAAAGACAACUUGA
RNAcentral lists this long non-coding RNA (1068 nucleotides) under Anser brachyrhynchus (Pink-footed goose). RNAcentral's name for it is "lncRNA (ENSABRG00000006810.1)". Lineage: Eukaryota; Metazoa; Chordata; Aves; Anseriformes; Anatidae. The record is from RNAcentral.